Molecule: ribosomal RNA, 405 nt
Filed under: uncultured bacterium
Lineage: Bacteria
Description: partial 16S ribosomal RNA
Rfam family: Bacterial small subunit ribosomal RNA
Source: RNAcentral
GAUGAACGCUAGCGGCGUGCCUAAUACAUGCAAGUCGAGCGAAGCGGGGACGGGGGAGUAACACGUGGAUAACCUCCUAUAAGACUGGGAUAACUUCGGGAAACCGGAGCUAAACCGGAUACUUAUAGAUGGAUCCGCGCUGCAUUAGCUAGUUGGUAAGGUAACGGCUUACCAAGGCAACGAUGCAUAGCCGACCUGAGAGGGUGAUCGGGCAAACUGGAACUGAGGCACGGUCCCGGCUCCUCCGGGGGGGAGCCGUGGGGAACUUUCCCCAAUGGGCGGAAGCCUGACGGGGCAACCGCGGGGUGGUUGUGAAGGUCUUCGGGUUGUAAAACCCGUUUAUUAGGGAAGCGGUACCUAAUCAGAAAGCCACGGCUAACUACGUGCCAGCAGCCGCGGUAAUUC